This 286-nucleotide ribosomal RNA is filed under the name Escherichia coli. Its description in RNAcentral is "partial 16S ribosomal RNA". It matches the Rfam family "Bacterial small subunit ribosomal RNA", at positions 1 to 281 of the family's 1533-position model. Lineage: Bacteria; Pseudomonadati; Pseudomonadota; Gammaproteobacteria; Enterobacterales; Enterobacteriaceae. The record is from RNAcentral.
UUAAAUUGAAGAGUUUGAUCAUGGCUCAGAUUGAACGCUGGCGGCAGGCCUAACACAUGCAAGUCGAACGGUAACAGGAAGCAGCUUGCUGCUUUGCUGACGAGUGGCGGACGGGUGAGUAAUGUCUGGGAAACUGCCUGAUGGAGGGGGAUAACUACUGGAAACGGUAGCUAAUACCGCAUAACGUCGCAAGACCAAAGAGGGGGACCUUCGGGCCUCUUGCCAUCGGAUGUGCCCAGAUGGGAUUAGCUAGUAGGUGGGGUAACGGCUCACCUAGGCGACGAUC